RNAcentral lists this ribosomal RNA (442 nucleotides) under uncultured bacterium. RNAcentral describes it as "partial 16S ribosomal RNA". It matches the Rfam family "Bacterial small subunit ribosomal RNA", at positions 338 to 795 of the family's 1533-position model. The record is from RNAcentral.
CCUACGGGGGGCGGCAGUGGGGAAUAUUGGGCAAUGGGCGCAAGCCUGACCCAGCAACGCCGCGUGAAGGAAGAAGGCUUUCGGGUUGUAAACUUCUUUUAAGAGGGAAGAGAAGAAGACGGUACCUCUUGAAUAAGCUACGGCUAACUACGUGCCAGCAGCCGCGGUAAUUCGUAGGUGGCAAGCGUGGUCCGGAUUUACUGGGUGUAAAGGGCGGGCAGCCGGGCUGACAAGGCAGAUGUGAAAUCCCGCGGCUCAACCGCGGAACUGCAUUUGAAACUGUCAGUCUUGAGUCCCGGAGAGGUCAUCGGAAUUCCUUGUGUAGCGGUGAAAUGCGUAGAUAUAAGGAAGAACACCAGUGGCGAAGGCGGAUGACUGGACGGCAACUGACGGUGAGGCGCGAAAGCGUGGGGAGCAAACAGGAUUAGAUACCCCAGUAGUC